RNAcentral lists this ribosomal RNA (84 nucleotides) under Strychnos nux-vomica. RNAcentral describes it as "partial 5.8S ribosomal RNA". It matches the Rfam family "5.8S ribosomal RNA", at positions 73 to 154 of the family's 154-position model. From Rfam's summary of the family: 5.8S ribosomal RNA (5.8S rRNA) is a component of the large subunit of the eukaryotic ribosome. Lineage: Eukaryota; Viridiplantae; Streptophyta; Magnoliopsida; Gentianales; Loganiaceae. The record is from RNAcentral.
UGCAGAAUCCCGUGAACCAUCGAGUCUUUGAACGCAAGUUGCGCCCGAAGCCGUUAGGCCGAGGGCACGUCUGCCUGGGCGUCA